AGCCAAGCCCAGUCAGGAAGAAAAGGUCCUGGAGGCUGGAACUCGAAAGCUCGAGCCCAGCGCCGACCGCUUCCGCCACGUCCUCCCAUGGCGACCGCUCUCCCCGCCACCGCUGCUCCUUGCCGCCUCCCGCUCUCCCAGCGCCGUCCCCCUGGAACAACUCCACUGCCCUCCCUGCUUCGAGCUCCCACUUUCCGCUGCUAUAGUGGCUCCAGCGUGGCUUGUUCAUGUUCGCCCAGGCCCCCGCCCGCGGUUCCUGCGGAGCAAAGGGGCGGCGGCGCUGGCCAGGCCACUUCGCCAGAGGGCACCGUAAGAAUCAUCGCCGUGGUUGGACAAGGUACCAUAAGCCCAAUUAAGGAUACGCCCUGGGAAGAAGUCAUGCGACAUACGGCUGAUAGGCUGAAGUGGGUCGAUGAGGGAUUUGAAAUGCUUGUCUUCACAGACAACUCAAUUGAGCAUGAUAAUCUUAGGAAAGAGUUAUCAUGCUGUGAUAUGCUGGUCAAUGUUGCAAUAACAAAUCAGGAUUCUGUUCAAUGUCUUAUAAACAACAGCAAAGACAUUUCUAAUGUAAUUUGCUUUCAGUCAUCUCCAUCUUUAUUAAACAAGCUAGGUGGCACAUAUGUUCAAUACACUGGAGAGGAGGACAUGUUUGGCAAGCUAGCAAGUAUUGGAAAACCAAGUGUCACAAAGGAAUCAGCUGAAGUUCUUAAGACCAUAUCUAAUGCCUGGGAAAGACACAAUUCAGAUGACAUUAGAUUUUGCUUGCUUGUUGUCGUAAAUGCAUACAUAAGGCCAGUUGCGAUGCUGAAAAACCUAAGGGCAAAAGGCCUUUCUACUCUAAGUUGUAUGAUAAAGAACUGUGGUCCACAGAUACUUAAUUGUCUGUUUGAUCCUAGCUGUAGGAAGGCCCUUCAGUGUUUGAAUUCCUGCUCUCCAACUGAUCAAGUCUGCAACUAUCGCUGUAUCGCAUCAUAUGAAAGUCCGUAUUUGGAGGCUUUUUCUCUCUGUGUUUUGCAGAAGAACAAUUGUCUUGACCUCAAUGCUGAGAUACCCAAUAAACCGAAUGUAAUACCACUGACCAUGUUCAGAGAACGAAAACUAAGCCAUGAAAUCGCAGAAGACCUAUUUGUUGGUUGGCUGGACAGCAUGGAAUGGAGUUGGAGAGUCGCGGCUGGACAGAAUCCAGCAUAUGAUCAAUUCCCAUGUCAGUAUCAGUUGUUCUACAGAGGGAAAGCUAAAGGUUCCUUUUGGUAUGAGCCGGUUUUUCAGGUCAAAACCCUGGAAGAGAAGCUGGUCUGGAGGCGCAGAAGGUACCGUGUGAGAAGAGCUAGCACUCCUGGUACAUUUUACUUCAGUGUGUUGGAUAAUGGUGUCGUUUCCAAAGAAUUUUGGACAAUUGUGGAUGUUGCGGAGGAUUUCAGCUGGGGUCUGUUCCAUUAUCAUGGUGCAGCACAGGCUGCUGGGCUAUCAUACACUGGAGCGGUGCUUGUUACCCCAGAUGGGUCUUAUCCUGAUGUGGACAAUCCAAGAUUGGCCUCUGCUUUAGAGAAAUGUGGUAUAAAGAAAUGGGAGCUCUAUAUGGUUGAUAAUAGUUGCUGCAUGGGUGCGCCGCUGGGAAUUCCUGAAGGUUCGAAGCUGCAUCAUCAGAUUUCUCCAGGAAAAGAAACUGGUGUUUUGCAGAGAAGGUGAUGAUCUGUUCAAAUAAGAAAGGAUCCAUUUCAUAACCACAUGAUUGUCUUACUAAAGAUGCCUCAUGCCCGUAACCUGCUGACAAGUGGACAGAUAUUGCUUAAGAGAAGUUCAUGUGUGACUUCAAGCCUUGUAUAUAUUUACAGCAACAGAUGACACUAGUUACGACCUGCAAUGUUGAGCAGGCAUCUUCAUCACCUAUGUAGAGAUGCUAUACUUUUGCAAGAUCGAAAGUGUUUUCCUGCCAUAGAACUCGAGAAUUCUGAUUUUGCUGGCAUGAAGUUAAGUUGGUAUUUAGCAAUCUUUGGUUGAGCACUUGUAUUACAGGAUUUGAAGUUACACCUGAUGUAGUGAUAUUCUUAUCUUCGUUGAUGAGAACUAGAGUUUGUUGAAAGUAAUAUGUAUGACGGCAUGGCUGUGACCGUGACCAUGUACCACGGCUGUGACCGUGCGGUGUUAGUUGGUUAGCCUCAGAUCAGAUAGAUUAGAGUUUGUUUAGAUUGAUAAGAGCUACCAACAACCUGUCACCAUGUUGUGUACUCUCUAAGGCACUUUGCCUAUAUAUUAACACACAAUCGUGGUGAGCCAAGAUAGGCAACCAUGUUCCCA
RNA transcript from Panicum virgatum (switchgrass), 2298 nucleotides. It is a transcript of the gene named violaxanthin de-epoxidase, chloroplastic-like, with no coding region annotated. The record is from RefSeq and is a predicted model, not a curated record. The transcript is spliced from 3 exons. Lineage: Eukaryota; Viridiplantae; Streptophyta; Magnoliopsida; Poales; Poaceae.